CUAUGGCUUCUCUGCUGUUG
RNAcentral lists this unclassified non-coding RNA (20 nucleotides) under Dictyostelium discoideum. Lineage: Eukaryota; Evosea; Eumycetozoa; Dictyosteliales; Dictyosteliaceae. The record is from RNAcentral.